UUAGAGUUUGAUCCUGGCUCAAGACGAACGCUGGCGGCGCGCCUAACACAUGCAAGUCGAACGAGAGAUGAGGAGCUUGCUCUUCAAAUCGAGUGGCGAACGGGUGAGUAACGCGUGAGGAACCUGCCUCAAAGAGGGGGACAACAGUUGGAAACGACUGCUAAUACCGCAUAAAGCCCACGGCUCGGCAUCGAGCAGAGGGAAAAGGAGCGAUCCGCUUUGAGAUGGCCUCGCGUCCGAUUAGCUAGUUGGUGAGGUAACGGCCCACCAAGGCAACGAUCGGUAGCCGGACUGAGAGGUUGAACGGCCACAUUGGGACUGAGACACGGCCCAGACUCCUGCGGGAGGCAGCAGUGGGGAAUAUUGCACAAUGGGGGGAACCCUGAUGCAGCGACGCCGCGUGGAGGAAGAAGGUCUUCGGAUUGUAAACUCCUGUUGUUGAGGAAGAUAAUGACGGUACUCAACAAGGAAGUGACGGCUAACUACGUGCCAGCAGCCGCGGUAAAACGUAGGUCACAAGCGUUGUCCGGAAUUACUGGGUGUAAAGGGAGCGCAGGCGGGAGAACAAGUUGGAAGUGAAAUCCAUGGGCUCAACCCAUGAACUGCUUUCAAAACUGUUUUUCUUGAGUAGUGCAGAGGUAGGCGGAAUUCCCGGUGUAGCGGUGGAAUGCGUAGAUAUCGGGAGGAACACCAGUGGCGAAGGCGGCCUACUGGGCACCAACUGACGCUGAGGCUCGAAAGUGUGGGUAGCAAACAGGAUUAGAUACCCUGGUAGUCCACACCGUAAACGAUGAUUACUAGGUGUUGGAGGAUUGACCCCUUCAGUGCCGCAGGUAACACAAUAAGUAAUCCACCUGGGGAGUACGACCGCAAGGUUGAAACUCAAAGGAAUUGACGGGGGCCCGCACAAGCAGUGGAGUAUGUGGUUUAAUUCGACGCAACGCGAAGAACCUUACCAAGUCUUGACAUCCUGCGACGCACAUAGAAAUAUGUGUUUCCUUCGGGACGCAGAGACAGGUGGUGCAUGGUUGUCGUCAGCUCGUGUCGUGAGAUGUUGGGUUAAGUCCCGCAACGAGCGCAACCCUUAUGGUCAGUUACUACGCAAGAGGACUCUGGCCAGACUGCCGUUGACAAAACGGAGGAAGGUGGGGAUGACGUCAAAUCAUCAUGCCCUUUAUGACUUGGGCUACACACGUACUACAAUGGCGUUAAACAAAGAGAAGCAAGACCGCGAGGUGGAGCAAAACUCAGAAACAACGUCCCAGUUCGGACUGCAGGCUGCAACUCGCCUGCACGAAGUCGGAAUUGCUAGUAAUCGUGGAUCAGCAUGCCACGGUGAAUACGUUCCCGGGCCUUGUAC
This 1360-nucleotide ribosomal RNA is filed under the name uncultured bacterium. RNAcentral's name for it is "16S ribosomal RNA". It matches the Rfam family "Bacterial small subunit ribosomal RNA". The record is from RNAcentral.